This is a non-coding RNA of Leptonychotes weddellii (Weddell seal), 145 nucleotides long. NCBI's taxonomy places the organism in Eukaryota, Metazoa, Chordata, Mammalia, Carnivora, Phocidae. The record is from RefSeq and is a predicted model, not a curated record.
AGCUUUGCGCAGUGGCGGUAUCCUAGCCAAUGAGGUUUAUCUGAGGUGCGAUUAUUGCUAAUUGAAAACUUUUCCCAGUACGGCCAAAUAACUCAAAAACUCAGAAAUGAAAUCCACUCUAAAUUAAAGGAACAUUGUUUUGAAG